CGGUGGGGGAUUAGUGCCUAGGGUUUGGGUUUGGUGUGAUGUGAGAUAUUUAUACCCGUCUCCCCUAAAUCUAGGUCGUUCAUCGCGUUUGAUCUCGACCGUCCAAUCACGUUUAAAGAGAAAAUAAAUCUGGAUUAUUUAUCGUGAUUUGAUCUCAACCGUACGAUCGUGUUUGAAGAGGAAACGAAUAUAGACCGUUCAUCGUGUUUAAUCACGACCGUCCGAUCGCGCUUAAGGAAGGAACGGAUCCACACCAUCCACGCGUACGGGAUCGCAUCCGGGUCAUCCGAUUGUGGGCAUGCGGAUUACCAGCGUGGCCUCCCACGUGGCACCGAGUCAGCAUGCCUUGCCAUGCAGCGUGCUCCAGUUCGUCAGAACUGUUAACUAGUCGGUCCUACAUGGUACAUUUUUUCUUAAUUGCAUUUUGACCUCCAGUUUCUGAUUUUUCUUUCAAAAAUACAUCCCGAAAUAAAAUUUUCACCCAUUUUUUUCAAAUUAUUUUCAACUUCAUCC
RNAcentral lists this long non-coding RNA (513 nucleotides) under Carica papaya (papaya). Its description in RNAcentral is "long non-coding RNA (CPAP_LNC007763)". The record is from RNAcentral. Lineage: Eukaryota; Viridiplantae; Streptophyta; Magnoliopsida; Brassicales; Caricaceae.